UGGGGAAUAUUGCGCAAUGGGGGAAACCCUGACGCAGCAACGCCGCGUGAAGGAUGAAGGCUUUCGGGUUGUAAACUUCUUUGAUCGGGGACGAAGAUGACGGUACCCGGGGAACAAGCCACGGCUAACUACGUGCCAGCAGCCGCGGUAAUACGUAGGUGGCAAGCGUUGUCCGGAAUUACUGGGUGUAAAGGGCGUGUAGGCGGGGAUGCAAGUCAGAUGUGAAAUUCCGGGGCUCAACCCCGGCACUGCAUCUGAAACUGUGUCUCUUGAGUGCUGGAGAGGAAAGCGGAAUUCCUAGUGUAGCGGUGAAAUGCGUAGAUAUUAGGAGGAACACCAGUGGCGAAGGCGGCUUUCUGGACAGUAACUGACGCUGAGGCGCGAAAGCGUGGGUAGCGAACAGG
RNAcentral lists this ribosomal RNA (404 nucleotides) under uncultured prokaryote. RNAcentral's name for it is "bacterial SSU rRNA". It matches the Rfam family "Bacterial small subunit ribosomal RNA", at positions 355 to 776 of the family's 1533-position model. RNAcentral also lists the same sequence under 1 other name. The record is from RNAcentral.